CAAUGUACCAAAACUCUACUAACGACAAGUCUAAGAAUAAGAGGUACAACCCCGAAACUAAACAAACACCUUAAACAAAUAGUCUGAGUCCGAAAAGAGUGGACUUAAACAAGAAAGAUCCAUGACAGCCUGAAAGAACUGGCUCACCCUUGAAUCCGGUCACGCUCAAUAGUCACCUAGCUGAGGUCUAUCAAUAGCCACCUGAAGAUGCCCUGUACUCAACAAAGAAAGAGCAAGUGCAGUAUCAGUACACAACCAUAGUGUACUAGUAGGAUCACACGGCUAUCCCAAUAAGUGUAACAUACAUUAGCCAAUACAACAAUAUAAUCACAUGCACAUAUGAACAUAUAUAAUAUCAUCAACACAUACGAACAAUGAACCACUCCACGAUUCUCACAUAUCACAGUUAUAUCAAUUUAGAGCAACAUAUCGUCUUCCAAUAUCAAUCAUCAUUAGAUAUGAACGAACUCAUCGCAAGUAGAUACACAACACAAUUUAAUGGUCCUCUCAUAGUUAGCAUACCGGAACGUGGUACCCUAUCUAAUGAUUAUGCCGGAACGUGGCAACCGAUCCCAUAAUUAUGCCGGAACAUGGCAACCGAUCCAAGUUAGUUAUGCCGGAACGUGGCAACCGAUCCAUUGAACACACCACAAUCACAAUCACAAGUAUAUCCUCAAGAUCAUACAUUUAAGUCAUGAUUUCAUGGUAACCAUCAUUCAUCUAUCUCAUUUACAGUAAGUUUGAUCAAUAAUGCAACAUUCAUAUAAAUACAUGUAUCAUAAUGAAGCAAGAACAAACAUAAAUCACACAAUCAUAGAAUCAAAACCAUCACUACCUCGAAACAAGCAUUGAAACACUAAGAAUCUUGAUUCUUCCCCUUUCGGAUUCGUUCCGCUUGUUCUUGGUCUACAAACAAUCAAUAUAAUACGAAAAUCAAUAAACAAUUACUAAUUACCCGAAUUGCUAACAAUUCUAUGAACCCUAGAUCAUACCUAUGAUCCCAAGUAUCCAAAAUAGGGUUGUUUCCACCAUAGAUUCUAGAUCAAAACCCUCCCCCAUCGAUCAUUACCCAUUAGAUUACGUUCUACAGAUCAAAAAAUGGAUUCGGGGAGUUAAAAUCUUACCUUUAGCCUCAAUAAUGGUGGAAAACUGUCAAUAAUGGGUUUGUUCCUUAGAUCUAAAAAUUGAAAAGUGCAGAAUAAUGUCAUUUUGGGGUUUAUUUACGACUUUAAGUCACGUCUGGCCCGCCACGGUGGCCCUCACCCCACUACAGCGGCCACGCCAGAGCGACAAAAACCACAGCCACACCCGCUUGUACGAAAUGGUAAGCUAUUUUAAUAAAUCCAAGACCCCCAUUUGACAACACACCUUUAACCAACGACCCUCAGAAAAUACCGUUCAUGCUAAGAUCGAUUCCGGGAGUUCUACUCACUCGAAUUCAAUUCCGUAAAGUCAUACAGAUUCCUUAACGACUUAUCUCACCAAUCAUGGAAUCAAAAUCAUAAAUAAGUCAAUUGAUUGUUACCAGAUUUCCCUAAACCUCACUGACUCCAAAUUCGUCCAAAUCUGGACUAGGCUAGGAAAUCUCUAUUUACUAUGAAAAGGUUUUUUGGCCCCAAUUCUUUCCCCAUUGGCUUUUCUCUAACGACGGAAUCAGGUCGUUACAGUUAGGCAUAUAAUAUCUUCAUAGCUGGUGUGAAAUCAUACAUAUACAUGACAUACAAAAUUUAAAAUGAUUUGAAUAAAUAAGAUUUUUUGAUGUCAUAGUUUAAAGUUGGCUUUAUAUUUCAGGCUUUAUACUAUUUUCUCAGUUACAUCUCUACUUUAUUCUCCCUCAUAUCCUUGGGAGCAGAUACCUUGUUCAUAACCUAGCCUAACCCCAAGGAAAGAUAAGUUAGACCUUCGUACUCUUAAAUGUGUCUUUCUUGGUUACUCUCGAGUUCAAAAAAGGGUAUUGUUUCUAUUUACCAUAUCUUCGUCGAUACCUUAUGUAGGACAAUGUCACAUUCUUUAUAUCACAACCUUACUAUACAUCUUCUAAUCAUCCUGAUGUCUCUGAGAUCUUACUCCUACCUCUCAGUUCUUACCUGUACCAACUUUUGAGGGACCUACAGUUACUUCUACAUCUCUACUUGUAGUACCAUCACUCCUGACUUAUCAUCAUAAUUCGCAUCUUGCACUAUUCUCCGGUGAAUUAUGCCAUGCGUCAAACAAUGUUGCUACUGCGGACUUGCCUCCUCCUAGCCAACCGAUUGCAUUUCAAAAAGGUAUACAAUCCACUUGAAAUACUAACCCAUAUUAUGCUUACUUGAGUUAUCAUCAUUUAUCAUCACCCCACUAUGCCUUUGUAUCAUUUGUCCUCUAUUUUUAUCCCUAAGACUAUAGGUGAAAUACUUUCUCAUUUUGAAGGGAGGUAGACGAUGAUUGAUGCCAUGUCUACUUUACAUACGUGUGGUACUUGAGAGCUAGUCCCAUUUCCUGUAGGUAAAUCUACUAUUGGUUGUCGUUGAAUUUAUGCGGUCAAAAAUGGUUUAGAUAGUUAGGUUUAUAAGGUUCACCUUGUUGCCAAAGGGUAUAAUCGGUGUAAUACCCCAUUUUAACUCGAGGUCCAAACGGUGUACAACAUAUUGUGAUUCUUAAUGCUAUUUUAAAGAGUCGGCACCUAAUCAUGUGAAGGUAAAUUAUGAUACCUAUUUUACUAAAGUUAUUCUAUAUUAACUCUACAUUAAGGUCUACUUAACCUUAUAUGAUUCUAGGUAAGGGUUCUAAUUUAUCUUAAAGGGAAGGGGUAAGACAUCCUUUAAGAUCCGUUAAAAAAUAGUUAACCGGCCAAACUUAGGUUAAUUAAUUAAACUAAAAUAUAAUGCUAAAGAAUUUGCAAAAAACCAUGAGUGGAAAACAUUUUAACAUAUGAAAAACUCUUUUAUAUUUGGAAAGAAUUUACUUGUAUUUUAAUUUUUUGAAAACAAUAGAUAAUCACUUGUUUAAAACGACAAUUGUUUGUACAAAAUUUGGUACGAAAAAUGCAUACUAAAAGAAUGGUUUCAGUAUACGAAGUUAAUGCACAUGUCUUAAAAUUUGUUUGCACCUUGAAAAGCAUUCUACAUUUGAAAAUUGAUUGAAAUAGAAUGACAAAAACUUGAAAAGAAGAAAAUAAAAAAGUCAUUUGCUUAAAAUAAUUUUAUUAGUCUCUGAAGUCAUGGCUAUAAAAACACAGUACAAAAUCUAAAUUAUGACCCCAAAAAUGCUUCUUUAAAAAAAAAAUCAAAUUGAGCUUAAAUAAAUGCUAGAUUUCUUACAAAAAAGGAAAAGCUCACAUAUGAUAGAUAGUUUAUCGAUAUUUAGGGGUGUUCAAGGUUUGGAUAAAAACCGAUCCAAACCGAAAAACUAAACCAAACCGAUUUUUAUUUGGGUUAGGUGUGGUUUGGUUUUAGAUUUUUAAAAAUCGAUAGCAUAUGGGUUGGUUAUGGUUUUGUUCGAAAAAAACCGAAGAAAUAACCGAAUUGAACCGACAAAUUAUAUACAUAUAUUUUAUUAUUAUACAUACAUAAUAUAUUAUUUUUAUAAACAAUUUUAAAGAUCUGGUAUGUUUUUCAUCAAAAAUUAUUUAUAAUUUACUUAUGAAAGAAAAAAUGCAUAAGGUGAGAAUAUUUAUCUUAUUGGUUUUAUAUAUAUGAGUGUGUCUGACAAUUCUUUAUAAGAUUGAAAAUAUUACUCUCUCUUUCUUCUAGGACAAAAUAAUGAAUUUUGAAGCUUUAUUCAUAGUAAAUUCAAUUAUUGAAAGUUCUGUAAUGUCAGUCACUCUAACUAUUUUGGUUUUAAAUGGAUUGUUGUCACUUUUUUCACAUUUUGAAUGAAUUGUGUCUUCUAUUUUUGUCUAUGGUUAAUAAAAGAUUAACCAAACCAAAUCGAACCGAACAGAUAACAACCAAACUGAUAAAUAUAUACUAUAUUUGGUUUCGUUUGGUUUGGUUUUGAUAAUUUUAAAACUGAUUAAAUUGGUUUGGUUUUGAUUUUGACCAAUAACCGAUCCAACCAACCCGUGAAUACCCCUAUCGAUAAUUAGUUUGUGGCUAACUAAGUAAUUAGAUUUAAACGUGAUCAUUUUUCCUAUGUCGAUUAUCCCGAAUGAAAAGAAAAACUAAAAACACAUUUAAAUCACAUACGUAAGUUCAUCAUGUCAAGAAAAAUCAAUAAAAACAAAUAAAUGUUAAAGAUAUAAAUAGACAUAGGCGACUCCAAGUGAGUUUCACUCGUUUUGCUUACUAUUCCAGAUAGUCAAAGAUAU
RNAcentral lists this long non-coding RNA (4288 nucleotides) under Solanum tuberosum (potato). RNAcentral describes it as "long non-coding RNA (STUB_LNC001362)". The record is from RNAcentral. Lineage: Eukaryota; Viridiplantae; Streptophyta; Magnoliopsida; Solanales; Solanaceae.